This 429-nucleotide ribosomal RNA is filed under the name Acidobacteriota bacterium. RNAcentral describes it as "Acidobacteria bacterium partial 16S ribosomal RNA". It matches the Rfam family "Bacterial small subunit ribosomal RNA", at positions 355 to 776 of the family's 1533-position model. Lineage: Bacteria; Pseudomonadati; Acidobacteriota. The record is from RNAcentral.
UUGGGAAUUUUGGACAAUUGGGGAAACCCUGAUCCAGCCAUCCCGCGUGUGCGAUGAAGGCCCUCGGGUUGUAAAGCACUUUUGGCAGGAAAGAAACGUCAUGGGUUAAUACCCCGUGACACUGACGGUACCUGCAGCAUAAGCACCGGCUAACUACGUGCCAGCAGCCGCGGUAAUACUUCGGGUGCAAGCGUUACUCGGAAUUACUGGGCGUAAAGCGUGCGCAGGCGGUUCGGAAAGAAAGAUGUGAAAUCCCUGAGCUCAACUUUGAAACCGCAUUUUUAACUGCAGGGCUAGAGGGUGUCAGAGGGAGGUGAAAUUCCACGUGUAGCAGUGAAAUGCGUAGAUAUGCGGAGGAAAACCGAUGGCAAAGGCAGCCGCCUGGGAUAACACGGACGAUAAUGCACGAAAGCGGGGGGAGCAAACAGG